Molecule: long non-coding RNA, 663 nt
Organism: Zalophus californianus (California sea lion)
Lineage: Eukaryota; Metazoa; Chordata; Mammalia; Carnivora; Otariidae
Exons: 4
Source: RefSeq, a predicted model, not a curated record
CAUUCAUGUGCCAUCGUGGGAGUGUACAGUCUUCAUUGAUCUUGCAGACACAUUCUUUGUAGUUCUUGCCAAACAGCUGCAUGCCGACCACAGCAAAAAUGAAGACGAUGAUGGCCAGCACCAAGAUUGGGAUCAUUCAACAUAUCUUCAGAAAGAAGCAUUAAAUGGCGGCGACUAUAAUGUUUGCCUCAUGAAUUGCUCUGAGUAUAUGAUGAUAAAUGACUCAGUUUGAAAAGGACAAUGGAGACUGACGGGAACUGUAGCAAAAUGGAGAAUGUAAGCUCCAUCUAAAGGAGGUGACCACUUUCCGCUCUAAAGGAUUGCUGCCAUGCAGGACUAUGAGCUCAGGCUUACCAGAUGUCUACAGCAUAUGGGAUGAGAAUUCCACGAAUGAGUUAAAGGUGUAUUUCUACAGAAGAGGUAUUGCAAGACACAGAGCCAUUCACAGGACCAAAGAAGGCCCCUCUAGCAGAGAGACUGACUGAUGCAAGAAUAAGGGUGGAGCCAUGCCUGAGCUAUUUUAAAACGUCCUUACGCUGUCAUCAGAAGUUGCCUUAUCUAUUAUCACCUCUGGCAGAAGCUGUCCAUUGGGGAGCAUGAGGGCUGAGGGUCCAUCAACCAGGGAGACCACACCAUUGCAGUCCACGGCACUGUGCAUCUUCC